RNAcentral lists this transfer RNA (63 nucleotides) under bovine gut metagenome. It matches the Rfam family "tRNA", at positions 6 to 65 of the family's 71-position model. Rfam says of the family: Transfer RNA (tRNA) molecules are approximately 80 nucleotides in length. The record is from RNAcentral.
GGAUAGCUCAGGGGAUAGAGCAGCGGUUUCCUAAACCGUUGGUCGCAGGUUCAAAUCCUGUUC